CCUGGUUGAUCCUGCCAGUGGUCAUAUGCUUGUCUCAAAGAUUAAGCCAUGCAUGUCUAAGCACAGCUGGUAACAGUGAAGCCGCGAAUAGCUCAUUACAACAGCCGUUGUUUCUUGGAUCUACUCUCUACUUGGAUAACUGUGGUAAUUCUAGAGCUAAUACAUGCAUCCAGACCCGACGCAAGGACGGUCGCAUUUAUUAGAACAAAACCAUCCGGUCUUCGGACCGUACUUUGGUGACUCUGAAUAACUGAGCAAAUCACACGGUCUCGCACCGGUGAUGUAUCUUUCAAGUGUCUGCCUUAUCAACUUUCGAUGGUAGUUUAUGUGCCUACCAUGGUUGUAACGGGUAACGGAGAAUCAGGGUUUGACUCCGGAGAGGGAGCCUGAGAAACGGCUACCACUUCUAAGGAAGGCAGCAGGCGCGCAAAUUACCCAUUCUCGGUACGAGGAGGUAGUGACGAAAAAUACCAAGCCGAGGCCCUUUGGGUUUCGGCAUUGGAAUGAGAACAAUCCAAAUCUUUUAACGAGGAUCUAGUGGAGGGCAAGUCUGGUGCCAGCAGCCGCGGUAAUUCCAGCUCCGCAAGUGUAUAUCUAUUUUGCUGAGUUUAAAAAGCUCGUAGUUGGAUCUGCGUGUUCAGCAUCUGGUGCGGUCUCUGGCCGCUACUGGAAUGCGACACAUCGAAUGUCGGUGUGCCGUUGAUGCUCUUUACCGGGUGUCAGCGGUGACUGAUGAGUUUACUUUGAACAAAUUAGAGUGCUCAACGCAGGCGUUUCGCUUGUAUAUUUCUGCAUGGAAUAAUAGAAUAGGACCUCGGUUCUAUUUUGUUGGUUUUCGGAAGUGAGGUAAUGAUUAGGAGGGACUGACGGGGGCAUUCGUACUGCGACGUGAGAGGUGAAAUUCUUGGAUCGUCGCAAGACGCACUACUGCGAAGGCAUUUGCCAAGAAUGUUUUCAUUAAUCAAGAACGAAAGUAACGGGUUCGAAGGCGAUCAGAUACCGCCCUAGUCGUUACCGUAAACAAUAUUGACUGGGAGCAUGUCGGCGUUUCCAAGAACCCGAUAUGAACCCGCAGGGAAACCACAAGUCGAUUACUGGGGGAGUACGAUUGCAAAUUCGAAACUUAAAGGAAUUGACGGAAGGGCACCACCAGGGGUGGAGCCUGCGGCUUAGUUUGACCCAACACGGGGAAACUCACCCGGCCCGGACACCGGAAGGAUUGACAGAUUGAGAGCUCUUUCUUGAUUCGGUGGGUGGUGGUGCAUGGCCGUUCUUAGUUGGUGGAGUGAUUUGUCUGGUUAAUUCCGAUAACGAACGAGACUCUGGCCUACUAAAUAGUCGUCGGAUCGC
This 1350-nucleotide ribosomal RNA is filed under the name metagenome. RNAcentral's name for it is "SSU rRNA". It matches the Rfam family "Eukaryotic small subunit ribosomal RNA", at positions 3 to 1370 of the family's 1831-position model. The record is from RNAcentral.